RNAcentral lists this ribosomal RNA (254 nucleotides) under uncultured prokaryote. RNAcentral's name for it is "partial 16S ribosomal RNA". It matches the Rfam family "Bacterial small subunit ribosomal RNA", at positions 522 to 775 of the family's 1533-position model. The record is from RNAcentral.
AAGACAGAGGGGGCAAGCGUUGCUCGGAAUUACUGGGCGUAAAGGGCGCGUAGGCGGGAUGGCAAGUCGGUCGUGAAAUCCCUCGGCUCAACCGAGGAGCGUCGGCCGAUACUGCCGUUCUUGAGGGAUGCAGAGGAGACUGGAAUUCCCGGUGUAGCGGUGAAAUGUGUAGAGAUCGGGAGGAACACCGGUGGCGAAGGCGGGUCUCUGGGCAUUUCCUGACGCUGAGGCGCGAAAGCGUGGGGAGCAAACGG